Molecule: non-coding RNA, 571 nt
Organism: Hippoglossus stenolepis (Pacific halibut)
Lineage: Eukaryota; Metazoa; Chordata; Actinopteri; Pleuronectiformes; Pleuronectidae
Source: the annotation of a RefSeq genome assembly
AGUUGUGAGUCGGGGCCGAACAGGGCCGAGACUCCUCCUUCUAAUCUGAGUCUAAACACAGAGAUCACAGCUUCUUUCCUCUUUCUACUCACAGUGACUCAACACUGCAGAUAUGACGCCUCUGUUCAUCUCAGUGCUGCUGGCUGCUCUGUGUCUUGAAGGCAGAGCACAACAAGACACUGUGCUGCAACCAGAAGGAGACGUGACUGCGACUGAAGGAGAAGCAGCAACACUUGGCUGUCGAUACGUCAGCAGCUCAGCAAGUGCAACUCUCCUCUGGUACAAACAGGAAGGAACCAACAGCCCAAAAUUCAUCCUGAGCCGCCUUCUAGUGGGAGAAGGAAACAAGGCAGACGACUUCAGAGAGAGAUUUUCAUCCACACUGAAUUCCACAUCAUUUCCUCUGAAGAUCCAGAAGCUGCAGCCGUCUGACUCUGCUGUGUACUACUGUGCUCUGCAGCCCACAGUGACAGGAAACUACACAACUCUGUACAAAAACCUGUGGAGCAAAGACAAUACUCCUCUUCCUCCACCAGAGGGAGUCACUCACUGUUAAACCUCAGUGGUUUGU